Molecule: ribosomal RNA, 433 nt
Filed under: uncultured bacterium
Lineage: Bacteria
Description: partial 16S ribosomal RNA
Rfam family: Bacterial small subunit ribosomal RNA
Source: RNAcentral
AACGAACGCUGGCGGCAUGCCUAACACAUGCAAGUCGAACGAGACCUUCGGGUCUAGUGGCGAACGGGUGCGUAACGCGUGGGAACCUGCCCUUAGGUUCGGAAUAACUCCCCGAAAGGGGUGCUAAUACCGGAUAAUGUCUUCGGACCAAAGAUUUAUCGCUUUUGGAUGGGCCCGCGUUGGAUUAGCUAGUUGGUAGGGUAAAAGCCUACCAAGGCGACGAUCCAUAGCUGGUCUGAGAGGAUGAUCAGCCACACUGGGACUGAGACACGGCCCAGACUCCUACGGGAGGCAGCAGUGGGGAAUAUUGGACAAUGGGCGAAAGCCUGAUCCAGCAAUGCCGCGUGAGUGAUGAAGGCCUUAGGGUUGUAAAGCUCUUUUACCCGGGAUGAUAAUGACAGUACCGGGAGAAUAAGCUCCGGCUAACUCCGUG